AUUGAACGCUGGCGGAAUGCUUUACACAUGCAAGUCGAACGGCAGCACGGACUUCGGUCUGGUGGCGAGUGGCGAACGGGUGAGUAAUGUAUCGGAACGUGCCCAGUCGUGGGGGAUAACGUAGUGAAAAUUACGCUAAUACCGCAUACGAUCUAUGGAUGAAAGCGGGAGAUCGCAAGACCUCGCGCGAUUGGAGCGGCCGAUAUCAGAUUAGGUAGUUGGUGGGGUAAAGGCCCACCAAGCCAACGAUCUGUAGCUGGUCUGAGAGGACGACCAGCCACACUGGAACUGAGGCGCAGUCCAGACUCCUACGGGAGGCAGCAGUGGGGAAUUUUGGACAAUGGGCGAAAGCCUGAUCCAGCCAUUCCGCGUGCAGGAUGAAGGCCCCCGGGUUGUAAACUGCUUUUGUACAGAACGAAAAGGUUUCUACUAAUACUAGGAGCUCAUGACGGUACUGUAAGAAUAAGCACCGGCUAACUACGUGCCAGCAGCCGCCGUAA
This 500-nucleotide ribosomal RNA is filed under the name uncultured bacterium. RNAcentral's name for it is "partial 16S ribosomal RNA". It matches the Rfam family "Bacterial small subunit ribosomal RNA", at positions 30 to 523 of the family's 1533-position model. The record is from RNAcentral.